Long non-coding RNA from Xenia sp. Carnegie-2017, 660 nucleotides. RefSeq lists it as uncharacterized. NCBI's taxonomy places the organism in Eukaryota, Metazoa, Cnidaria, Anthozoa, Malacalcyonacea, Xeniidae. The transcript has 2 exons. The record is from RefSeq and is a predicted model, not a curated record.
CUUGUUGUAUAUGUAUACGAUUGGCCAUCUUGUUUUUACAGGAGAGUGACAUGCGAUAUUUUAUUCUUUAACGGCGUUUUAUCCAAAUGAAGAAUUUAAAAAAUUGGAGGAAAGAAGGUAUUUAAUGAUAAGAGAAGUUUGGCUUUUACCUAUUUCAGCUUUUGACUCAGCCAGAACCGAAGAAAAUAUUAUUUAAGGAUGAAUCAUUGCGAUGUCAAGUCCGAAGAAAACGAUCUUUUUAACGAGUUUAUGGAUUUGGAAGAAUUUAUUGAUGCGUCGACGACAGAUGUUGCAUCUCCAAACUUUUCACAAUCUUCUUUUGAUUCAUACUGCUCCCCUGAGGGUUCAUCUGGUGUGGAAACUUUAAAUAAAAGUGAUACAAAAGCAGAACAAAGUGAAAGUUUAAAUUUGAAAGAAAAUGGCUCCACAACUGAGAAUGGAACUGAUGAUAACCAAGGUAUGGUUGCAUCCCUGAUGGAAAUAUGUCUACUGGUAAUAUGGUGAGAGAUCAGAGAUAUUGGGAUCGGAGGUUAAAAAAUAACAUUGCUGCAAAGCGUUCACGGGAUGCUAAAAGACUGAAAGAAACAACUGUUGUCAAACGGUGGACAUUUCUUGAAGAAGAGAACAAAAGAUUGAAAGAACAGAUUUCAAAUAUGCAAA